AAUAGCUACUUGCAUCAUUGUAAAUAUGAUGCAAGAUCGACUAUGUCGAAUAAAAUUCUAGGUAGAAUUAUGAUAAUGACAUUGUCUGCCUAUGUGUCUUGACCAAAUUACGUGCCAGCAGUCGCGGUAAUACGUAGAAGACUAGUGUUAUUCAUGUUUAAUCGGUUUAAAGGGUACCUAGACGGUAAAUCAAGCCUAAAAGGAAAUAAAUGAAGGGACUAAUUUACUAGAGUUACUUAUGAGGGGGUAUUAAAGUACUGCUGGUGUAGAGAUGAAAUUCUGUCAUACCUCUUUUCAAUAGAAAAAUAAUGGCACAGGUAUAGGCGAAAGCAUCCCCUUAUGUGAUAACUGACGUUGAGGGACGAAGGCUUUGUGUAGCGAACAGGAUUAGAUACCCCAGUAGUCAAAGCAGAAAAUGAUGAAUGUCAUAGAUUAGAUAUAUAAGUUUAUUCUAUAAAUGAAAGUGUAAGCAUUCCACCUCAAGAGUAAUUUGGCAACAUUGGAACUGAAAUCAUUAGACCGUUUCUGAAACCAGUAGUGAAGUAUGUUGUUUAAUUUGAUGAUCCGCAAAAAACCUUACCACAAUUUGAAUAUUUAUAUCUUUUAUUGUUUUUCUUUUUAACUUUUUCUAAUUUUCUACUUAAAAGAAAAAAAAUAACAAGAAAAAAGAGACAAUAA
This 678-nucleotide ribosomal RNA is filed under the name Vulpicida pinastri. Its description in RNAcentral is "SSU rRNA". It matches the Rfam family "Bacterial small subunit ribosomal RNA", at positions 379 to 1013 of the family's 1533-position model. The record is from RNAcentral. Lineage: Eukaryota; Fungi; Ascomycota; Lecanoromycetes; Lecanorales; Parmeliaceae.